CGCGGCGGCCGCGGCAGCAGGUCGUUCGCUCGUCGCGCGGUUUAUCCGACAAAGUUUGGAGAUGAGUGAAAAAUCGGAAUGUUACAUUAACGUUUUUCACCGUGAUUUACUUAACGGACGCUUAUCUCUCGAUGGAUAUUUAAGUCAAACGCGUUAUUAAUCGUUAAUCUGAAAAUAAAUUUGGCCAUCUCUCGUUGGCGUUCUCGCGUCCCGAUGAGCGGAGAGCGUGGAGCUUAUGUAGAGUAUACGAGUCCCAUAAUUGUCGGAGCGCGAUUUAACGUGACGGAAUACGCGGAUCGUGUGAAUUAAAUAACGCAGUGCAGCGGUGUGUCGAUGUUCAUUGCAUUUGCAUCUCAUGGAAUUUGCAUGAGUUCGCGAGUGCGUUUCGAGCGUACAUUUUCGGACGGUUGGCUUGCAGGUUAAGUUCAGUUAUAGCGCGUUUUCGAAAUAAUACGGAACGGGUUUUGUCGCUCCGAGAGCGAUUAUAAUAAAGGUCGUCCAACCAGAAAUCUAAAAUAUAGAGCAUGUGAUGCCAUUAAUCGCUCUCGGAGCGAUCAAACCCGCUCCGUGUCCGAAAACGCUAUUAUAGCCAGUGUUGACUCGCGACUCGGCGUUAACUUCGCAAUUUUCGCAUUGACGCGUUCUAACUUCGGGAAUAGCGUGCAAAAGUAUUGUGUGAUCGUCGUCCGCGUUUUCGCGAAUACAUAUACAUACAUUUUUGGAUGAUUCACCGAUCAUGGUUCAGUUGAUAGAUAUCAAUUCGGCGUUAACUUAAUUCGCGUAUUUCGGGAAUGGCACGCAAAGUGUAUCGCGCGAUCGUACGUUACCCGCGUUUUCGAGCGAGCGUCACAUCGAGGGAGUUUCCUACGAAACUGAGAACUCGGAUUCUUUGAUAAUAAUAUUGUCAUAACGAUGCGGACGAUGUCGCGUCGAGGGAAUUCAAUGAAGUUACUUCGAAAAGUCUGAGAGCUAGAGGCUUGGGAAAGGCAUCGGGCUCCGGCGGAGCAACCUUGCGAAUCGUCGUAGCUACGUGGCUGAUUAACUCCGUUGUUGCGCAUCGGUCGGUGAGUAAAAAAAUAUUUUAUUAACAAUAGGUCUUUUGU
Long non-coding RNA from Wasmannia auropunctata (little fire ant), 1103 nucleotides. RefSeq lists it as uncharacterized. The record is from RefSeq and is a predicted model, not a curated record. NCBI's taxonomy places the organism in Eukaryota, Metazoa, Arthropoda, Insecta, Hymenoptera, Formicidae. The transcript is spliced from 3 exons.